RNAcentral lists this ribosomal RNA (252 nucleotides) under uncultured prokaryote. RNAcentral's name for it is "partial 16S ribosomal RNA". It matches the Rfam family "Bacterial small subunit ribosomal RNA", at positions 524 to 776 of the family's 1533-position model. The record is from RNAcentral.
UACGUAGGUGGCAAGCGUUGUCCGGAAUUAUUGGGCGUAAAGCGCGCGCAGGCGGUUUCUUAAGUCUUGUGUUUAAUCCCGGGGCUCAACCUCGGUUCGCAUGGGAAACUGGGAAACUGGAGUGCAGGAGAGGAAAGUGGAAUUCCACGUGUAGCGGUGAAAUGCGUAGAGAUGUGGAGGAACACCAGUGGCGAAGGCGACUUUCUGGCCUGUAACUGACGCUGAGGCGCGAAAGCGUGGGGAGCAAACAGG